This 106-nucleotide ribosomal RNA is filed under the name Candidatus Peregrinibacteria bacterium CG10_big_fil_rev_8_21_14_0_10_55_24. RNAcentral describes it as "partial 16S ribosomal RNA". It matches the Rfam family "Bacterial small subunit ribosomal RNA", at positions 1 to 121 of the family's 1533-position model. Lineage: Bacteria; Candidatus Peregrinibacteriota. The record is from RNAcentral.
UUCACGAAGAGUUUGAUCCUGGCUCAGAGUGAACGCUAGCGGUGCGCCUAACACAUGCAAGUCGAGUGGGUUUAGACCCACGGCGAACGGCUGAGUAACACGUUGG